GAAAUGCGAUAAGUAAUGUGAAUUGCAGAAUUCAGUGAAUCAUCGAAUCUUUGAACGCACAUUGCUCCUAUUAGUAUUCUAGUAGGCAUGCCUGUUUGAGUAUCAUGAAAUCUUCAAAGUAAAUCUUUUGUUAACUCAAUUGGUUUCUACUUUGGUAUUGGAGGUCUUUGCAGCUUCACACCUGCUCCUCUUUGUUCAUUAGCUGGAUCUCAGUGUUAUGCUUGGUUCCACUCGGCGUGAUAAGUUAUCUAUCGCUGAGGACACUGUAAAAGGUGGCCAAGGUAAAUGCAGAUGAACCGCUUCUAAUAGUCCAUUGACUUGGACAAUACUUUUAUGAUCUGAUAUCAAAUCAGGUAGGACUACCCGCUGAACUUAAGC
This 378-nucleotide unclassified non-coding RNA is filed under the name plant metagenome. RNAcentral's name for it is "partial contains 5.8S ribosomal RNA, internal transcribed spacer 2, and large subunit ribosomal RNA". The stretch from base 1 to 105 matches the Rfam family "5.8S ribosomal RNA", at positions 50 to 154 of the family's 154-position model. The record is from RNAcentral.